CUCAAAGAUUAAGCCAUGCAAGUGGUUACACUAACCCGACAGUUUAAAUAAGUGUUCAAUGCUUUUUCCACAUAUAUGAUAUAUACGGUCUAUUCGUUCACACAUACACACACACACCACCCGUGCUGAACUUAGAUUCCAACAUAUAUAUAUAUACACACAUUAAGUGAAUCACUGAAUUCUCAGUAUCACUUACGCAACUGCAGACAGCUGCUUAAUACAGUCACACUUGUCUUGACUUGGCAUACGCGCAAUGCAUGAAUAUAUACAUUACGUUUCGACUAUUUUCGUAAUUGCUCCUUUCGCCUAUGCACUUUACAUGGUCUUCCGUGUCGAGUGUAUCUGCACCGGGGGUAUUUUGUGAAAUGCGUCAAAUGUAUUCCUAUUGAAAUGCAAUGCACGGCUUACCUACACACACACAUACACACACUGUGAUUUCUCUGUUUCGCUUAUCUUUAUUUCAAAGAUUGCUACGCGUUACACCGUGACAACUUCUUUUAUUUAUGGAUAACUCAGGGAAAGUUUGGCUAAUACGUACGAGUAUUUACACACACACACACACACACUCUCACACAGUGUAUAUAUAUAUAUAUUGGUUGGUGCAUACAUUUUCUCACACAUCGUGUGUGUAUUCAAACAGUAUGUAUAUAUAUAUGACUCCCUCUACUCAGCACUCAAUGGUAGACUUUUGGUUUCACGCUCUGCGUAUUCCAGUACAAGUUUAAUCGCAACAUGAGAGACAUUGAGCACGCACGUGAUUUCGUUCCCUCGGGAACUUAGUCACAUUCACGCUGAGCAGACUUUGCGAAGUUUACUUUGCGAAGCAUGUCAUACAAGCAUCUACAGCAUCAAGUCACAGGGUUGGCAAGUGUAUUUUUGAACCUUCAAAGCAGUCACGCAUACGGAAGAGUAGUUUCUGAUCCCAUAGAAGGAGCACCGUACAAUGAGAGACCGCUCUUAGUUCUAAGGAACGCAGCAGGCGCGUAAAUUGCCCAAUGCUAGUACCCUACAAUUAUAUAUUGAUUAUUAUUAUGCAUUAUGCGCAAAUUUACAACAUACAUUAUGCAAAUCAUUGUAACACUACACACAUACACACCCUUUUUACUCUGUCAUCAUCAUACAUAGCAUAUCCUUGUUCGUUGUUUAUUUCAGCAUUAAAGCGUAUAUAUUAUUAACACCAUUAUAUACAUUCACUUUUUUACUGAGGCAGUGACAAGCUGUAACGGUUGAGUAUUUAAAUGACGAGUGUCUGGCAUUGCCGCUCUUUCGGGAGCUUGGCAAGUUGCCGACGCUUUGUGUGCUCAAUUGGAAUGCGGUGAGUUUAAGCAACUCAGAACCUUUGGACGGUGUUAUUCUCUGUAAUUUCACUGUUCAUGUAUCUGAAUUUCAAGUGGAGGGCAAGUCUGGUGC
Molecule: ribosomal RNA, 1410 nt
Filed under: Nonionellina labradorica
Lineage: Eukaryota; Foraminifera; Rotaliida; Nonionidae
Description: SSU rRNA
Source: RNAcentral